This 199-nucleotide long non-coding RNA is filed under the name Elaeis guineensis (African oil palm). RNAcentral describes it as "long non-coding RNA (EGUI_LNC071956)". The record is from RNAcentral. Lineage: Eukaryota; Viridiplantae; Streptophyta; Magnoliopsida; Arecales; Arecaceae.
UGAAGCAUAAAUCCAAAUCAAUUGAAAUAUUCAAAUGAUUCUAUAAUGAGGUAGGAAAAUGAACUGCAAAGAGUAUUAGAAUCAUCGAUUUGACCGAUGAAGUGAAUAUCUUUACAGUAAGUUUUGACAUGUCUUCAAAAAAAUUAGAUUCUCUCUUAAUGGACCUCUCUUGAGACAUCAUUAUUUAAAAGGAUAUCCG